CACCGUAUGAGAAAUCAAAUGAGAAUACCGGCUGAACUUAAGCAUAUCACUAAGCCGAGGAAAAGAAACUAACAAGGAUACCCUAAGUAACGGCGAGUGAACCGGGUAAUGCUCAAUCUUAAAAUCUGUGUCUCAAAUGAGGCAUCGAAUUGUAGUUUUUUGAUAAUCAUUCCCUCUUCUUUUAAUAUAAUUAAAGUCUCUUGGAAUAGAGUGUCAUAGAAGGUGAGAACCCUGUGAAUAGUUAUAUUAAGGGGAGGAUAUUGAGUUUGAUUAUCAUAGAGUCGGGUUGUUUGGGAAUGCAGCCUAAAAAGGGUGGUAAAUCUCAUCUAAAAGCUAAAUAUUUGGUAAGAGACCGAUAGAAAACAAGUACCGUGAGGGAAAGAUGAAAAGAACUUUGAAAAGAGAGUUAAAAGUACUU
RNAcentral lists this ribosomal RNA (418 nucleotides) under uncultured eukaryote. RNAcentral describes it as "eukaryotic LSU rRNA". It matches the Rfam family "Eukaryotic large subunit ribosomal RNA", at positions 1 to 400 of the family's 3401-position model. The record is from RNAcentral.